AUUGAACGCUGGCGGCAGGCCUAACACAUGCAAGUCGAGCGGAUGAAGGGAGCUUGCUCCUGGAUUCAGCGGCGGACGGGUGAGUAAUGCCUAGGAAUCUGCCUGGUCGUGGGGGAUAACGUCCGGAAACGGGCGCUAAUACCGCAUACGUCCUGAGGGAGAAAGUGGGGGAUCUUCGGACCUCACGCUAUCAGAUGAGCCUAGGUCGGAUUAGCUAGUUGGUGGGGCAAAGGCCUACCAAGGCGACGAUCCGUAACUGGUCUGAGAGGAUGAUCAGUCACACUGGAACUGAGACACGGUCCAGACUCCUACGGGAGGCAGCAGUGGGGAAUAUUGGACAAUGGGCGAAAGCCUGAUCCAGCCAUGCCGCGUGUGUGAAGAAGGUCUUCGGAUUGUAAAGCACUUUAAGUUGGGAGGAAGGGCAGUAAGUUAAUACCUUGCUGUUUUGACGUUACCAACAGAAUAAGCACCGGCUAACUUCGUG
RNAcentral lists this ribosomal RNA (484 nucleotides) under uncultured bacterium. RNAcentral's name for it is "partial 16S ribosomal RNA". It matches the Rfam family "Bacterial small subunit ribosomal RNA", at positions 30 to 507 of the family's 1533-position model. The record is from RNAcentral.